Molecule: transfer RNA, 71 nt
Filed under: Marmota monax (woodchuck)
Lineage: Eukaryota; Metazoa; Chordata; Mammalia; Rodentia; Sciuridae
Rfam family: tRNA
About the family: Transfer RNA (tRNA) molecules are approximately 80 nucleotides in length. Their secondary structure includes four short double-helical elements and three loops (D, anti-codon, and T loops). Further hydrogen bonds mediate the characteristic L-shaped molecular structure. tRNAs have two regions of fundamental functional importance: the anti-codon, which is responsible for specific mRNA codon recognition, and the 3' end, to which the tRNAs corresponding amino acid is attached (by aminoacyl-tRNA synthetases). tRNAs cope with the degeneracy of the genetic code in two manners: having more than one tRNA (with a specific anti-codon) for a particular amino acid; and 'wobble' base-pairing, i.e. permitting non-standard base-pairing at the 3rd anti-codon position.
Source: Rfam by way of RNAcentral
GUGGUUGUGGCUCACUGGUAGAGCACUCAUUUAGAAUGUGUGAAGCACUGGGUUCGAUCCUCUGCACCACA